AUUGAACGCUGGCGGCAGGCCUAACACAUGCAAGUCGCACGAGUGGCGGACGGGUGAGUAAUGUCUGGGAAACUGCCUGAGGGAUGGGGAUAACUACUGGACACGGUAGCUAAUACCGCAUACCAUCAGAUGUGCCCAGAUGGGAUUAGCUAGUUGGUGGGGUAACGGCGCACCACGGCGACGAUCCCUAGCUGGUCUGAGAGGAUGACCAGCCACACUGGAACGGAGACACGGUCCAGACUCCUAGGGUAGGCAGCAGUGGGGAAUAUUGCACAAUGGGCGCAAGCCUGAUGCAGCCAUGCCGCGUGUAUGAAGAAGGCCUUCGGGUUGUAAAGUACUUGCAGCGGGGAGGCGUUACCAGCAGAAGAAGCACCGGCGAACUCCGUGCCAGCAGCAGCGGUAAUAC
RNAcentral lists this ribosomal RNA (406 nucleotides) under uncultured bacterium. Its description in RNAcentral is "partial 16S ribosomal RNA". It matches the Rfam family "Bacterial small subunit ribosomal RNA", at positions 30 to 526 of the family's 1533-position model. The record is from RNAcentral.